This 460-nucleotide ribosomal RNA is filed under the name uncultured bacterium. Its description in RNAcentral is "partial 16S ribosomal RNA". It matches the Rfam family "Bacterial small subunit ribosomal RNA", at positions 338 to 795 of the family's 1533-position model. The record is from RNAcentral.
CCUACGGGUGGCAGCAGUGAGGAAUAUUGGACAAUGGGCGUAAGCCUGAACCAGCCAAGCCGCGUGAGUGAUGAAGGUUCUAUGGAUCGUAAACCUCUUUUAUAAGGAAAUAAAGUGUGGGACGUGUCCUAUUUUGUAUGUACCUUAUGAAUAAGGAUCGGCUAAAUACGUUCCAGCAGCCGCGGUAAUACGGAGGGUACGAGCGUUAUCCGGAUUUAUUGGGUUUAAAGGGUGCGUAGGCGGGCUUGUAAGUCAGCGGUGAAAGGCUGUGGCUCAACCAGAGAAUUGCCGUUGAAACUGGGGGGCUUGAGUGUGUUAGAGGCAGGGGGAAUGCGGGGUGUAGCGGUGAAAUGCGUAGAUAUCAGGCAGAACACCGGUUGCGAAGGCGGCCUGCUAGGCAAUGACUGACGCUGAGGCACGAAAGCGUGGGGAUCAAACAGGAUUAGAUACCCCUGUAGUC